Molecule: ribosomal RNA, 719 nt
Filed under: uncultured bacterium
Lineage: Bacteria
Description: bacterial SSU rRNA
Rfam family: Bacterial small subunit ribosomal RNA
Source: RNAcentral
GUCGAACGAGAGAAGAGAAGCUUGCUUUUCUGAUCUAGUGGCGGACGGCUGUGUAACACGUGAGCAAUCUGCCUUUCAGAGGGGGAUACCGAUUGGAAACGAUCGUUAAUACCGCAUAACAUAAUUGAACCGCAUGAUUUGAUUAUCAAAGAUUUAUCGCUGAAAGAUGAGCUCGCGUCUGAUUAGCUAGUUGGUAAGGUAACGGCUUACCAAGGCGACGAUCAGUAGCCGGACUGAGAGGUUGAUCGGCCACAUUGGGACUGAGACACGGCCCAGACUCCUACGGGAGGCAGCAGUGGGGAAUAUUGCACAAUGGAGGAAACUCUGAUGCAGCGAUGCCGCGUGAGGGAAGAAGGUUUUAGGAUUGUAAACCUCUGUCUUCAGGGACGAAAAAAGACGGUACCUGAGGAGGAAGCUCCGGCUAACUACGUGCCAGCAGCCGCGGUAAUACGUAGGGAGCGAGCGUUGUCCGGAAUUACUGGGUGUAAAGGGAGCGUAGGCGGGAUCGCAAGUCAGAUGUGAAAACUAUGGGCUUAACCCAUAAACUGCAUUUGAAACUGUGGUUCUUGAGUGAAGUAGAGGUAAGCGGAAUUCCUAGUGUAGCGGUGAAAUGCGUAGAUAUUAGGAGGAACAUCAGUGGCGAAGGCGGCUUACUGGGCUUUAACUGACGCUGAGGCUCGAAAGCGUGGGGAGCAAACAGGAUUAGAUACCCUGGUAGU